This 590-nucleotide small RNA is filed under the name Histoplasma capsulatum. RNAcentral's name for it is "hypothetical RNA". Lineage: Eukaryota; Fungi; Ascomycota; Eurotiomycetes; Onygenales; Ajellomycetaceae. The record is from RNAcentral. RNAcentral also lists the same sequence under 1 other name.
UCUAUCUCAGCAUCUCGUGAGCUAAGCGCGUGCACUUAAAUUGGUGCAAAACACACAACAUUAAAUGCAUCUCAGAUUCUUGAAUUUAUCAAGUUGCCAGCAGCAGAAGAGUGUUGGAUGUUGAUCACUCACAUUAUAGAUGACAUUGCAGGAAAAUGCCUCCUCUUGGUGGAUGUGGAACAACUAGAGCAGUCCAGCAUUGCUUUUAGAGGUUAACUAUGUGGAGCAAAUUCGAUCUAUCCCAAAUCCCUAUUCCCAUCUCAUCUGCAGCCCACUUGGUGGAGAGCGUUGGGAUUGUUGAAUUGACCAUGACAAUGGCGGGGAACGGACUCCUAUGACAAAAAUUGAGGAUCUGAACAAGCACAUCCUAGGCAAUCCGAACAUGAUCUCACAGGAUCCCCGGGUUUAGCGUGGCACGGCUCCACACCAUGGGCCAGAACAACUGUCAAGCUCAGAAAUCGGGUUUUGAAAUCUAGAGCAACAACUUGGUCCAGAACAUGGAACAAGAAAGCUUUACAUGUGACAGCAACCGUGUCGAUGCGAUCACAUGUUAUAUGCCCCAACCCUUGGAUUGAUCCCAAAACAAAUGA